GCUGGCGUGGCUCAAUCGGCAGAGCGGCCGCCUAGUAAGCGGUCAGGUGUGGGUUCAAGUCCCACCGCCAGCC
RNAcentral lists this transfer RNA (73 nucleotides) under Chloroflexota bacterium. RNAcentral's name for it is "Chloroflexi bacterium tRNA-Thr". It matches the Rfam family "tRNA". From Rfam's summary of the family: Transfer RNA (tRNA) molecules are approximately 80 nucleotides in length. The record is from RNAcentral. Lineage: Bacteria; Bacillati; Chloroflexota.